RNAcentral lists this ribosomal RNA (316 nucleotides) under uncultured beta proteobacterium. RNAcentral describes it as "bacterial SSU rRNA". It matches the Rfam family "Bacterial small subunit ribosomal RNA", at positions 36 to 358 of the family's 1533-position model. Lineage: Bacteria; Pseudomonadati; Pseudomonadota; Betaproteobacteria. The record is from RNAcentral.
CUGGCGGCACGUCCUACACAUGGAAGAAAAACGACGCUAGGGGCAACUCUAGCGAGUGGCGAACGGGUUUAUCUCAUACAUCGGAACGUGUCCUGUCGAGGGGGAUAACCAGUCGAAAGAUUGGCUAAUACCGCAUGAGCUCGAGAGAGGAAAGUGGGGGACCGCAAGGCCUCACGCCAUUGGAGCGGCCGAUGUCCGAUUAGCUAGUUGGUGGGGUAAAGGCUCACCAAGGCGACGAUCGGUAGCUGGUCUGAGAGGAUGAUCAGCCACACUGGGACUGGGACACGGCCCCACUCCUACGGGAGGCAGCAGUGGG